UACAGAGGGGGCAAGCGUUGUUCGGAAUUACUGGGCGUAAAGGGCGCGUAGGCGGCCUUCUAAGUCGAACGUGAAAUCCCCGGGCUCAACCCGGGAACUGCGUCCGAGACUGAAAGGCUUGAAUCCGGGAGAGGGAUGUGGAAUUCCAGGUGUAGCGGUGAAAUGCGUAGAUAUCUGGAGGAACACCGGUGGCGAAGGCGGGUCUCUGGGCCGAUACUGACGCUGAGGAGCGAAAGCGUGGGGAGCGAACAGG
This 253-nucleotide ribosomal RNA is filed under the name uncultured bacterium. Its description in RNAcentral is "partial 16S ribosomal RNA". It matches the Rfam family "Bacterial small subunit ribosomal RNA", at positions 524 to 776 of the family's 1533-position model. The record is from RNAcentral.